GAUGAACGCUGGCGGCGUGCCUAAUACAUGCAAGUCGAGCGAACGGACGAGAAGCUUGCUUCUCUGAUGUUAGCGGCGGACGGGUGAGUAACACGUGGAUAACCUACCUAUAAGACUGGGAUAACUUCGGGAAACCGGAGCUAAUACCGGAUAAUAUUUUGAACCGCAUGGUUCAAAAGUGAAAGACGGUCUUGCUGUCACUUAUAGAUGGAUCCGCGCUGCAUUAGCUAGUUGGUAAGGUAACGGCUUACCAAGGCAACGAUGCAUAGCCGACCUGAGAGGGUGAUCGGCCACACUGGAACUGAGACACGGUCCAGACUCCUACGGGAGGCAGCAGUAGGGAAUCUUCCGCAAUGGGCGAAAGCCUGACGGAGCAACGCCGCGUGAGUGAUGAAGGUCUUCGGAUCGUAAAACUCCGUUAUUAGGGAAGAACAUAUGUGUAGGUAACUGUGCACAUCUUGACGGUACCUAAUCAGAAAGCCACGGCUAACUACGUG
RNAcentral lists this ribosomal RNA (497 nucleotides) under uncultured bacterium. Its description in RNAcentral is "partial 16S ribosomal RNA". It matches the Rfam family "Bacterial small subunit ribosomal RNA", at positions 28 to 507 of the family's 1533-position model. The record is from RNAcentral.